AUACGGAGGAUCCGAGCGUUAUCCGGAUUUAUUGGGUUUAAAGGGUGCGCAGGCGGCCAUUUAAGUCAGCGGUUAAAUCGUGGGGCUCAACCCCAUUCUGCCGUUGAUACUGGGUGGCUUGAUUGCGGUCGAGGUUGGCGGAAUUCGUUGUGUAGCGGUGAAAUGCAUAGAUAUGACGAAGAACACCGAUUGCGUAGGCAGCUGACCAGACCGCAAAUGACGCUCAUGCACGAAAGUGCGGGGAUCGAACAGGAUUAGAUACCCUGGUAGUCCGCACAGUAAACGAUGGGCGCUCGUCGUCGGCGACAGACAGUCGGCGGCCAAGCGAAAGCGAUAAGCGCCCCACCUGGGGAGUACGGUCGCAAGGCUGAAACUCAAAUGAAUUGACGGGG
This 392-nucleotide ribosomal RNA is filed under the name uncultured bacterium. Its description in RNAcentral is "partial 16S ribosomal RNA". It matches the Rfam family "Bacterial small subunit ribosomal RNA", at positions 523 to 918 of the family's 1533-position model. The record is from RNAcentral.